GGNUUGCCGCAGGUGCGCGGUGGCUCUUGAUUCGGUUUGCUCGCGGGAACGCUCGUUCGAUCUUGCAGUUGCACCCGUGGUGCGGGCGCCUAGAUCUGGACGUGUAGUCUAGUCACAUCUGAAUGUUUUCUGCUGCUUUUGCUGCCCGGGUUUCAGGACAAUGCAGUCGAGAGCCAGGGCGCGGCGGCGGAGCAGGGAGCUGGUGAUGCCCGCAGGAGGUAUGGAUUCUUCGAUUAAACAAGCGCGGACAGACAUAUACUCCUACAUGGGAGAGAAAGAUGACAGCUUUGUGGAUUUUGACUGGGAAACGGAUUGUUUUCCUUUCUGUUAGUAUCUUUUCCCUCUGUGUUCUUCCACUGUUUGAUAGUGGCCAUGCCAGCUUGACCCAUGAGUCUAGGCAUGGCACGGCCGGAUCCAACUAUUAUUUUAGUGCACGCACUGCAGACUGCACCUGCCUGUCGGACAUGACGGCCCGGUGGGCAUGUUCGCUUCUCCCAUCCGUCCGUCCGUCCGCCCGCCCCAUAACUCCAUACUGCGUGCAUACAUACAUAGGCGCUGCUGCUUCUCGUCGCCGUCUUGGUCGUGGAUUUGUUUGGUUUGCUUUGCUGAUCUCGAUCACAGGCUCACAGCCUGUUCGUUUGGCUCUUGUUUUGUUGUGCGAUCCGGCCUUGGCCUCUAGUGCGCAUUGUAAUCAUGGCUUGCCACCUACUACCCGUUUCGUCAGUCGCGUCUUGAUCGGCGCUGUUAAUCCGGGGUUUUUUUUGGGUAGAAAGAUGAUGCUUUUUUCUGCACCUGCAGCAGCAAUGGCCAUGGAGGCGACGCGGAGUGGAAGCUGGACGUAGCAUGCACGGGCGCCGGCGAGAGGGCGGUGAAGGUGGAAGGACAGGCCACGAAUGGCGUGGCGGCGCCGGCGGAGUUGUUGGCCGUCAAGGACGAGAAGAAUGGCAGCGGCGGUGCGGCUGGCGGGGCCAAGNUGCUG
RNAcentral lists this long non-coding RNA (979 nucleotides) under Hordeum vulgare. Its description in RNAcentral is "long non-coding RNA (HVUL_LNC017963)". Lineage: Eukaryota; Viridiplantae; Streptophyta; Magnoliopsida; Poales; Poaceae. The record is from RNAcentral.